This 432-nucleotide long non-coding RNA is filed under the name Pan troglodytes (chimpanzee). Its description in RNAcentral is "long non-coding RNA NONPTRT005306". The record is from RNAcentral. Lineage: Eukaryota; Metazoa; Chordata; Mammalia; Primates; Hominidae.
GGGGCCCAUCCCAUCCAUCUCGCCAGUUAAACGCCUCUGGCGGGCGUGGGCCUGGCAUUUCUUCGUGGCUUAGGAUUUCCCCCCCCCUUUUUCGUGAGCCUUUCCUUCCGACGUUGUAAGAAACUGUGCAGGGCUAGAAGGUGGGGAUGAGGGAAAUGGUGAGAGCAAUACCCAGAGGUAAAAGCUGCAGACUUCGCUAGGCAGAAGGGUUUCUCGUCAUAAUGGCUGUGGAAGGGUCAACCAUUACCAGCCGGAUCAAGAAUCUGUUGAGAUCUCCAUCCAUCAAACUGCGCAGGAGUAAGGCAGGAAACCGACGAGAGGACCUCAGCUCCAAGGUGACCUUGGAGAAGGUGCUGGGAAUUACAGUGUCUGGAGGCAGAGGACUUGCCUGUGACCCCCGAUCAGGUUUAGUUGCUUACCCAGCAGGGUAAG